RNAcentral lists this ribosomal RNA (484 nucleotides) under uncultured bacterium. Its description in RNAcentral is "partial 16S ribosomal RNA". It matches the Rfam family "Bacterial small subunit ribosomal RNA", at positions 29 to 523 of the family's 1533-position model. The record is from RNAcentral.
AGUGAACGCUGGCGGCGUGCUUAACACAUGCAAGUCGAACGAGAACGGAUUAUAGCUUGCUAUAAUUGUCAGCUAAGUGGCGCACGGGUGAGUAAUGUAUAGGUAAUAUGCCUCUUACUAAGGGAUAACAAAUGGAAACGUUUGCUAAUACCUUAUACUCCUUAUUAACAGAAGUUAAUAAGGGAAAGAUUUAUUGGUAAGAGAUUAGCCUGUAUUGUAUCAGUUAGUUGGUGGGGUAAUGGCCUACCAAGACUAUGACACAUAACUGGUUUGAGAGGAUGAUCAGUCACACUGGAACUGGGACACGGUCCAGACUCCUACGGGAGGCAGCAGUGGGGAAUAUUGCACAAUGGACGAAAGUCUGAUGCAGCAACGCCGCGUAGAGGAUGACACAUUUCGGUGCGUAAACUCCUUUUAUAUGAGAAGAUAAUGACGGUAUUAUAUGAAUAAGCACCGGCUAACUCCGUGCCAGCAGCCGCCGUAA